This 27-nucleotide non-coding RNA is filed under the name Cricetulus griseus (Chinese hamster). The record is from RNAcentral. Lineage: Eukaryota; Metazoa; Chordata; Mammalia; Rodentia; Cricetidae.
UUAAGCUGAGGCAGGGUCCAGGAUGGA